This is a long non-coding RNA of Parus major (Great Tit), 868 nucleotides long. RefSeq lists it as uncharacterized. NCBI's taxonomy places the organism in Eukaryota, Metazoa, Chordata, Aves, Passeriformes, Paridae. The record is from RefSeq and is a predicted model, not a curated record. The transcript has 3 exons.
GGUGCCCUCUCCCAGGGCAUGUGUGCUGUUAUUGCUGAGUCCAAACUGGGAGCAACCCUGUCUGGCUACAGGCCACAAAUGCCUGGCAGUGUGAGCAGCUGGGUGAAGGAGACAGCAGGAGGUAGCAGUGGGACACCUGCAGGGACUGACCUGGUGGCAGUGCCACUUGGUGAGAGCGGGUAGGAGACACUGGGAUCCUCCUUUAGGGGGCUCUCAGACCUGCUCUGUCAAAAGCAGGUGCCUAAGCUGAGACUCUGGCCAGGAUCUGGCAAAAUCCCAGCAAUGAGGAUGGGACCUCAGCUGCCUGGAGCUAAGUGCCAAUGAAAUCUAAUCUGCCAGGGUUGUUUUCAGGACUUUGAGUAUGAAGCAGAUGGACCACAGCACUGAAAGCAGAGAGCCUAAUUAGAACAUGAGCAAAAGAAAACAAAGUUACCCCCAAGAGCCCCAGAAGAAAGUUUUUCCUCAACCAAUAAACUGCUGACAAGAUCCAGCAACAACAAAAUAUGCAGCAAUCUUCAGGCUUUCUGAGUGGAAGGCACUUAACAAAGGAGUAUAAUUCAAAGUAAUUGUACAAUUAUUUCUGGAAGUAUUUUGACAUUUGCAGCCAAUUGCAGUUUAAUAGACUAAGCUAACAGAAACAGAACUGUUCUUUUGCAUAUGGUAAUGACUCAUUGUUUAGAAGCAAUCUGGUGCCUAUAAUGCAGUUUUGUGACAGCUCUAUGUGGUAUCAACACCAGAUCGUGUUUGGAUGGUAGGAACAAGCCAUGUACUCACUCGUGCGUCAGCAGUGGCACAUCGCUCUUCCCUUCUCUGGUUGUGACAACAUCACGUUUGAUGCCAAACACUUUUCCAUAACUGUCUUUGGCCA